RNAcentral lists this ribosomal RNA (689 nucleotides) under Chaetothyriales sp. Its description in RNAcentral is "SSU rRNA". It matches the Rfam family "Eukaryotic small subunit ribosomal RNA", at positions 48 to 745 of the family's 1831-position model. The record is from RNAcentral. Lineage: Eukaryota; Fungi; Ascomycota; Eurotiomycetes; Chaetothyriales.
GCCAUGCAUGUCUAAGUAUAAGCAAUCUAUACCGUGAAACUGCGAAUGGCUCAUUAAAUCAGUUAUAGUCUAUUUGAUAGUACCUUUACUUGAAUAACUGUGGUAAUUCUAGAGCUAAUACAUGCUAAAAACCUCGACUUCGGAAGGGGUGUAUUUAUUAGAUAAAAAACCAAUGCCCUUCGGGGCUCUUUGGUGAUUCAUAAUAACUUAACGAAUCGCAUGGCCUUGCGCCGGCGAUGGUUCAUUCAAAUUUCUGCCCUAUCAACUUUCGAUGGUAGGAUAGUGGCCUACCAUGGUCUUAACGGGUAACGGGGAAUUAGGGUUCUAUUCCGGAGAGGGAGCCUGAGAAACGGCUACCACAUCCAAGGAAGGCAGCAGGCGCGCAAAUUACCCAAUCCCGACACGGGGAGGUAGUGACAAUAAAUACUGAUACAGGGCUCUUUAGGGUCUUGUAAUUGGAAUGAGAACAAUUUAAAUCCCUUAACGAGGAACAAUUGGAGGGCAAGUCUGGUGCCAGCAGCCGCGGUAAUUCCAGCUCCAAUAGCGUAUAUUAAAGUUGUUGCAGUUAAAAAGCUCGUAGUUGAACUUUGGGUCUGGCUGAUCUGUCCUCCUAAUCGAGCGCACGGAUUCGGUCGGACCUUUCCUUCUGGGGAACCCUAUGCCCUUCACUGGGCGUAGUGGGGAACCAG